Molecule: long non-coding RNA, 403 nt
Organism: Phascolarctos cinereus (koala)
Lineage: Eukaryota; Metazoa; Chordata; Mammalia; Diprotodontia; Phascolarctidae
Source: RefSeq, a predicted model, not a curated record
UUCAGAGCACAUAAUGUUUGUCCCACACAUAACAGGGACCUGUGAUUUCACUGGUAUAGUGAACUCCCAGAUAAAAUGAUGGAAUUAGCAUCCCAAAAGAUCUUGCCAGGCUGAAAUGGUAAACCAGAGGAGACACCCUGUUUUCCCUCACUGAAUCCUGGAAAGUAAACUGCGCCUUUGCUUGGCAUAACAACAAUCCUUUGAACUUACCCUCUGGAUGAACUGUGCUGCAGCUAAAUCACAGAAUUGUUUCACACCAGCCCCAGAUGGUCUCUGAGCUCAGACAACAUCAGGAAGCCCUGCUAUGAAUCAAACUCCCUUCAAUGUGGCUGUUACCCCCUCAUUGCCAUGGCUACAGCUCCCUGGUGUUUCUUUGUCUAGUUCUAGCCACUACUGAUUUGGA